This 497-nucleotide ribosomal RNA is filed under the name uncultured bacterium. RNAcentral describes it as "partial 16S ribosomal RNA". It matches the Rfam family "Bacterial small subunit ribosomal RNA", at positions 28 to 507 of the family's 1533-position model. The record is from RNAcentral.
GAUGAACGCUGGCGGCGUGCCUAAUACAUGCAAGUCGAGCGAACGGACGAGAAGCUUGCUUCUCUGAUGUUAGCGGCGGACGGGUGAGUAACACGUGGAUAACCUACCUAUAAGACUGGUAUAACUUCGGGAAACCGGAGCUAAUACCGGAUAAUAUUUUGAACCGCAUGGUUCAAAAGUGAAGGACGGUCUUGCUGUCACUUCUAGAUGGAUCCGCGCUGCAUUAGCUAGUUGGUAAGGUAACGGCUUACCAAGGCAACGAUGCAUAGCCGACCUGAGAGGGUGAUCGGCCACACUGGAACUGAGACACGGUCCAGACUCCUACGGGAGGCAGCAGUAGGGAAUCUUCCGCAAUGGGCGAAAGCCUGACGGAGCAACGCCGCGUGAGUGAUGAAGGUCUUCGGAUCGUAAAACUCUGUUAUUAGGGAAGAACAGAUGUGUAAGUAACUGUGCACAUCUUGACGGUACCUAAUCAGAAAGCCACGGCUAACUACGUG